CAACCUGCCCAUCACUUGGGGAUAACCUUGCGAAAGUAAGACUAAUACCCAAUGACGUCUCUANAANNCAUCUGAAAGAGAUUAAAGAUUUAUCGGUGAUGGAUGGGGAUGCGUCUGAUUAGCUUGUUGGCGGGGUAACGGCCCACCAAGGCAACGAUCAGUAGGGGUUCUGAGAGGAAGGUCCCCCACAUUGGAACUGAGACACGGUCCAAACUCCUACGGGAGGCAGCGGUGAGGAAUAUUGGUCAAUGGACGAGAGUCUGAACCAGCCAAGUAGCGUGCAGGAAGACGGCCCUAUGGGUUGUAAACUGCUUUUAUAAGGGAAUAAAGUGAGAGUCGUGACUCUUUUUGCAUGUACCUUAUGAAUAAGGACCGGCUAAUUCCGUGCCAGCAGCCGCGGUAAUACGGAAGGUCCGGGCGUUAUCCGGAUUUAUUGGGUUUAAAGGGAGCGUAGGCCGGAGAUUAAGCGUGUUGUGAAAUGUAGAUGCUCAACAUCUGCACUGCAGCGCGAACUGGUUUCCUUGAGUACGCACAAAGUGGGCGGAAUUCGUGGCGUAGCGGUGAAAUGCUUAGAUAUCACGAAGAACUCCGAUUG
RNAcentral lists this ribosomal RNA (595 nucleotides) under uncultured Bacteroidota bacterium. RNAcentral's name for it is "bacterial SSU rRNA". It matches the Rfam family "Bacterial small subunit ribosomal RNA", at positions 122 to 715 of the family's 1533-position model. The record is from RNAcentral. Lineage: Bacteria; Pseudomonadati; Bacteroidota.